Molecule: unclassified non-coding RNA, 376 nt
Filed under: uncultured Thermoleophilia bacterium
Lineage: Bacteria; Bacillati; Actinomycetota; Thermoleophilia
Description: contains 16S-23S intergenic spacer region
Source: RNAcentral
UCCGUGUUAACCACGGCAGUCUCUUUAGAGUGCCCAACUUAAUGCUGGCAACUAAAGACAAGGGUUGCGCUCGUUGCGGGACUUAACCCAACAUGUCACCACACGAGCUGACGACAGCCAUGCACCACCUGUGAUCCUGCCCCGAAGGGAAGGUCUGUUUCCAGACCGGUCAGGAACAUGUCAAGCCCAGGUAAGGUUCUUCGCGUUGCGUCGAAUUAAACCACAUGCUCAGCUGCUUGUGCGGGCCCCCGUCAAUUCCUUUGAGUUUUAGCCUUGCGGCCGUACUCCCCAGGCGGGGUGCUUAAUGCGUUAGCGGCGGCACGGGAGGAGUCGACACCUCCCACACCUAGUGCCCAUCGUUUACGGCGUGGACUAC